This 468-nucleotide ribosomal RNA is filed under the name uncultured bacterium. Its description in RNAcentral is "partial 16S ribosomal RNA". It matches the Rfam family "Bacterial small subunit ribosomal RNA", at positions 28 to 507 of the family's 1533-position model. The record is from RNAcentral.
GACGAACGCUGGCGGCGUGCCUAACACAUGCAAGUCGAACGGAAAGGCCCUGCGCUUGUUGGGUGCUCGAGUGGCGAACGGGUGAGUAACACGUGAGUAUACCGCCCUUGACUUUGGGAUAACUUCACGAAACUGGGGCUCAUACAGGAUAGGAUCUCCUGCUGCGUGGUGUGCGAUGGAAAGUUUCGGCGGUUGGGGAUGGACUCGCGGCUUAUGAGCUUGAUGGUGGGGUAGUGGCGUACGAAGUCUUUGACGGGUAGCCGGCCUGGGAGGGUUGACGGCGACAAUGGGCCUGAGGUAGGGACCAGAAUCGAACCGGAGGCAGCAGUGGGGAAUAUUACGCAAUGGGCGGGAGCCUGAUACAGAGACGCCGCGUGCGUGAUGACCGCUUUCGGGUGGUGAACCGAUUUCGACUGUGACGAAGCGUGAGUGACGGUAAUGAGUAAGGAAGCACCGGCUAACUACGUG